UUUGAGACCGGCGCACGGGUGCGUAACGCGUAUGCAACCUACCUCUUACUGGGGAAUAGCCCGAAGAAAUUCGGAUUAAUGCAACAUAUGCUCGUACGGCCUCAUGGUCGAGCGAGGAAAGCUCCGGCGGUAAGAGAUGGGCAUGCGUCCUAUUAGCUUGUUGGUGAGGUAACGGCUCACCAAGGCGAUGAUAGGUAGGGGGCCUGAGAGGGUGGUCCCCCACACUGGUACUGAGACACGGCCCAGACUCC
RNAcentral lists this ribosomal RNA (251 nucleotides) under uncultured bacterium. RNAcentral's name for it is "partial 16S ribosomal RNA". It matches the Rfam family "Bacterial small subunit ribosomal RNA", at positions 88 to 339 of the family's 1533-position model. The record is from RNAcentral.